Cydia fagiglandana is the source of this 1295-nucleotide long non-coding RNA. RefSeq lists it as uncharacterized. The record is from RefSeq and is a predicted model, not a curated record. The transcript has 4 exons. NCBI's taxonomy places the organism in Eukaryota, Metazoa, Arthropoda, Insecta, Lepidoptera, Tortricidae.
GUUCACUUCAAAAUGGCGCUCGCUGUGCGUAGAAAGUAGUACUCGUGUAAACGUGUAAAAUUGGAGAUAGCAUAGAAGAAAACUGAAAGGGUUCGCGGUUCAACUUUUUCUAACGGUUUCCUCAGCGUCCUUUACGAAGUUCAGUUGAUAUCGUGUCCACGUCCAGGGUAGAUCAGACCAGAUCUGCAAAUCUUGGAGCACUCGUCGUAUGCCAUUAAAAAAAUAAAGGGUUCGCGGUUCAACUUUUUCUAACGGUUUCCUCAGCGUCCUUUACGAAGUUCAGUUGAUAUCGUGUCCACGUCCAGGGUAGAUCAGACCAGAUCUGCAAAUCUUGGAGCACUCGUCGUAUGCCAUUAAAAAAAUUAAAACAUGCCUGUUAUAAAAAUUUGGUCUGUAGAUCAAAAAAUCAAAAAAGCGGUUCAAAUAAUGGACCCAACAAUAGAAAAUGUUAUUGAAAAUGGUGAGUAAAUCUAAAUUAAUUUGACUUUUCGUAAUGAAAUAUUUUUUGUGUAAUUGUAGAAUGUAGUGUAUUGUAGAAUAGACUAUAAUUGGAUACCUAUUGUUAAGCAUUAAUGUGCUGACUCAAACCACAUUUAUUUUGCAGUAACAUCGUUGCUUAUCAUGAACAGUGGUACAACUAAAAAUGAAAUGCUAUUUAUUGCAUUUAAUAUUCUAUCUUUUACUGGUAAGAUUUAAAGUCGUGAUGUCAAUUUAAAAAUUAGACGCUUGAAGUUGACAUAUUGCAAAAUCAAUGUGGUUUGACAUAUUAAUAUUUUUGCUAAACAGUAUCCAAUUAGGUAUGUAGAUUGUAGAUAGAGGCCUAUUUUCUGUCACUUAAUUAGAUCUAUUCGUGCCGAUAUACCUCUAUGUAAAUACAUACAAACUUGUUAUACCCUCUCUCAUAUAUCUAUGUGAAUGGUAGUAGAGUCGCACCAAGAAAAGUCUGCAGCGGAUUUGAUAGCCCACGCAGUGUGUUAUUUAUACGUCAUAAUUUCAUAGAAGUUUGACGUUUAAAAUGACACUUGCACUGCGUGGGCUAUCAAAAUCACUGCAGACUUUUCACAGUCUGACUCUAUUAAGCAAAUAUUUAAUUACAUUGUACGCCAUAGCGCUAACUUGAAAAGUCACACUUACAUACAGAAAUUUGUUUAACAUAUUAAGUAAUUAGUGAUCACCUGAUCGGUUACAACAUUCUAAUUUACAUGUAUGUAUGACGACCGGUCUGGCCUAGUGGGUAGUGACCCUGCCUGCGAAGCCGAUGGUCCUGGGUUCGAAUCCCAGUAAGGGCAUUUAUU